GUGCUUGCUUUGGCUGCACAUACACUAAAAUUGGAACAAUACAGAGAAAAUUAGCAUGGCCCCUGCACAAAGAUGACGAAAGUCUGGACUUGGAAAGCUGGUUA
This is a small nuclear RNA of Ochotona curzoniae (black-lipped pika), 104 nucleotides long. The record is from RefSeq and is a predicted model, not a curated record. Lineage: Eukaryota; Metazoa; Chordata; Mammalia; Lagomorpha; Ochotonidae.